RNAcentral lists this ribosomal RNA (401 nucleotides) under uncultured bacterium. RNAcentral's name for it is "bacterial SSU rRNA". It matches the Rfam family "Bacterial small subunit ribosomal RNA", at positions 975 to 1375 of the family's 1533-position model. The record is from RNAcentral.
CAGCCCUUGACAUCCCGGGAAUCCUGCAGAGAUGUGGGAGUGCCUUCGGGAGCCCGGAGACAGGUGCUGCAUGGCUGUCAUCAGCUCGUGUCGUGAGAUGUUGGGUUAAGUCCCGUAACGAGCGCAACCCUUGUCCUUAGUUGCCAGCGAGUCAUGUCGGGAACUCUAAGGAGACUGCCGGUGAUAAACCGGAGGAAGGUGGGGAUGACGUCAAGUCAUCAUGGCCCUUAUGGGCUGGGCUACACACGUGCUACAAUGGUCGGUACAGAGGGUCGCAAACCCGUGAGGGGGAGCCAAUCCCAGAAAACCGGUCGUAGUCCGGAUUGCAGUCUGCAACUCGACUGCAUGAAGUCGGAAUCGCUAGUAAUCGCGAAUCAGCAUGUCGCGGUGAAUACGUUCCC